This 243-nucleotide long non-coding RNA is filed under the name Trifolium pratense (red clover). Its description in RNAcentral is "long non-coding RNA (TPRA_LNC001832)". The record is from RNAcentral. Lineage: Eukaryota; Viridiplantae; Streptophyta; Magnoliopsida; Fabales; Fabaceae.
GAUUAAUCUGAUGAACCAAAGACCAGUUGCAUUAUCACAGCUUUGCGUGCUUCAAGUGGACAUUGGAGAAUCAUUCUAAGCUUGUUAACAUCUUUCAUGACAGCACAAUAUAUCUCAGGCACUGACGCUGGCUCACACCCGCAACCCUCUAUUAAAUUCCAUGUUUCUUGACCAGAAAUUGGAGGCAGAUCAUAUUUUUGACGUUCUCUCAUUAUUUCAUUUCCUUCUCGUAUUGCCUCAGCA